This 45-nucleotide non-coding RNA is filed under the name Trichobilharzia regenti. The record is from RNAcentral. Lineage: Eukaryota; Metazoa; Platyhelminthes; Trematoda; Strigeidida; Schistosomatidae.
AUUCAGAUGACGACUCCCAAAUAGGACAAAAUGCGCAUCCGGGAU